Molecule: ribosomal RNA, 247 nt
Filed under: uncultured Gammaproteobacteria bacterium
Lineage: Bacteria; Pseudomonadati; Pseudomonadota; Gammaproteobacteria
Description: partial 16S ribosomal RNA
Rfam family: Bacterial small subunit ribosomal RNA
Source: RNAcentral
AGAGGGUGCAAGCGUUAAUCGGAAUUACUGGGCGUAAAGCGCGCGUAGGCCGUUGGGUAAGUCGGAUGUGAAAUCCCCGGGCUUAACCUGGGAAUUGCAUUCGAUACUGCCUGACUAGAGUGUGGAAGAGGGAAGCGGAAUUUCCGGUGUAGCGGUGAAAUGCGUAGAUAUCGGAAGGAACACCAGUGGCGAAGGCGGCUUCCUGGUCCAACACUGACGCUGAGGCGCGAAAGCGUGGGGAGCGAAC